CCUACGGGCGGCAGCAGUGGGGAAUAUUGGACAAUGGGGGGAACCCUGAUCCAGCUAUGCCGCGUGUGUGAAGAAGGCCCUCGGGUUGUAAAGCACUUUCAGUGAGGAAGAACGCCUGGUGGUUAAUACCCAUCAGGAAAGACAUCACUCACAGAAGAAGCACCGGCUAACUCCGUGCCAGCAGCCGCGGUAAUACGGAGGGUGCGAGCGUUAAUCGGAAUUACUGGGCGUAAAGCGCGCGUAGGUGGCUUGAUAAGCCGGUUGUGAAAGCCCCGGGCUCAACCUGGGAACGGCAUCCGGAACUGUCAAGCUAGAGUGCAGGAGAGGAAGGUAGAAUUCCCGGUGUAGCGGUGAAAUGCGUAGAGAUCGGGAGGAAUACCAGUGGCGAAGGCGGCCUUCUGGACUGACACUGACACUGAGGUGCGAAAGCGUGGGUAGCAAACAGGAUUAGAUACCCGGGUAGUC
RNAcentral lists this ribosomal RNA (465 nucleotides) under Vreelandella stevensii. Its description in RNAcentral is "partial 16S ribosomal RNA". It matches the Rfam family "Bacterial small subunit ribosomal RNA", at positions 338 to 795 of the family's 1533-position model. Lineage: Bacteria; Pseudomonadati; Pseudomonadota; Gammaproteobacteria; Oceanospirillales; Halomonadaceae. The record is from RNAcentral.